UUUUCGGCUGUGGUCAGUGUCAAUUCUUUUUUUUUAUUUUUACAAGUAUUGCACUUUUCACGGCCGGAAAA
RNAcentral lists this microRNA precursor (71 nucleotides) under Drosophila virilis. Its description in RNAcentral is "microRNA dvi-mir-313 precursor". Its record names the gene dvi-mir-313. It matches the Rfam family "mir-310 microRNA precursor family", at positions 5 to 70 of the family's 74-position model. The record is from miRBase by way of RNAcentral. Lineage: Eukaryota; Metazoa; Arthropoda; Insecta; Diptera; Drosophilidae.